This 208-nucleotide ribosomal RNA is filed under the name Escherichia coli. RNAcentral describes it as "partial 16S ribosomal RNA". It matches the Rfam family "Bacterial small subunit ribosomal RNA", at positions 1 to 215 of the family's 1533-position model. The record is from RNAcentral. Lineage: Bacteria; Pseudomonadati; Pseudomonadota; Gammaproteobacteria; Enterobacterales; Enterobacteriaceae.
AAAUUGAAGAGUUUGAUCAUGGCUCAGAUUGAACGCUGGCGGCAGGCCUAACACAUGCAAGUCGAACGGUAACAGGAAACAGCUUGCUGUUUCGCUGACGAGUGGCGGACGGGUGAGUAAUGUCUGGGAAACUGCCUGAUGGAGGGGGGAUAACUACUGGAAACGGUAGCUAAUACCGCAUAACGUCGCAAGACCAAAGAGGGGGACC